Molecule: long non-coding RNA, 75 nt
Organism: Oxyura jamaicensis (ruddy duck)
Lineage: Eukaryota; Metazoa; Chordata; Aves; Anseriformes; Anatidae
Exons: 2
Source: RefSeq, a predicted model, not a curated record
CAGCUCUGAGCCAUGCAGCAUCCAUCUUAGAGGCGAGCGGAGCAUCUUCUCUCCUAAGUUGCAUCCUGCGAAAAA